GGAUGAACGCUAGCGGCAGGCCUAAUACAUGCAAGUCGGACGGGAUAGGAGAGCUUGCUUUCCUUGAGAGUGGCGCACGGGUGCGUAACACGUAUGUAACCUACCCUUAUCAGGGGGAUAGCCUCUCGAAAGAGAGAUUAAGCCCGCAUAAAAUGAAGACACAGCAUUGUGAUUUCAUCAAAUAUUUAUAGGAUAAGGAUGGGCAUGCGGAACAUUAGCUAGUUGGUAAGGUAAUGGCUUACCAAGGCUACGAUGUUUAGGGGAUCUGAGAGGAUGACCCCCCACACUGGUACUGAGACACGGACCAGACUCCUACGGGAGGCAGCAGUAAGGAAUAUUGGUCAAUGGGCGGAAGCCUGAACCAGCCAUGCCGCGUGCAGGAAGACGGCCCUACGGGUUGUAAACUGCUUUUGCAGGGGAAUAAACCCCCAUAUGUAUAUGGGGUUGAAUGUACUCUGAGAAUAAGGAUCGGCUAACUCCGUGCCAGCAGCCGCGGUAAUACGGAGGAUCCGAGCGUUAUCCGGAUUUAUUGGGUUUAAAGGGUGCGUAGGCGGCCUUGUAAGUCAGGGGUGAAAGACGGUAGCUUAACUAUCGCAGUGCCUUUGAUACUGCAGGGCUUGAAUGUACUUGAGGUAGGCGGAAUGUGACAAGUAGCGGUGAAAUGCAUAGAUAUGUCACAGAACACCAAUUGCGAAGGCAGCUUACUAAAGUAUGAUUGACGCUGAGGCACGAAAGCGUGGGGAUCAAACAGGAUUAGAUACCCUGGUAGUCCACGCCCUAAACGAUGAAUACUCGAUGUUGGCGAUAUACAGUCAGCGUCAAAGCGAAAGCGUUAAGUAUUCCACCUGGGGAGUACGCCCGCAAGGGUGAA
RNAcentral lists this ribosomal RNA (871 nucleotides) under uncultured bacterium. Its description in RNAcentral is "bacterial SSU rRNA". It matches the Rfam family "Bacterial small subunit ribosomal RNA", at positions 27 to 898 of the family's 1533-position model. The record is from RNAcentral.